Molecule: long non-coding RNA, 3891 nt
Filed under: Neogobius melanostomus (round goby)
Lineage: Eukaryota; Metazoa; Chordata; Actinopteri; Gobiiformes; Gobiidae
Description: lncRNA (ENSNMLG00000012029.1)
Source: RNAcentral
CUUUUUCCCUCAGGCGACCAGACGACAGGCGACCAGACGACAGGCGACCAGACGACAGGCGACCAGACGACAGGCGACCAGACGACAGGCGACCAGAUGACAGGCGACCAGACGACAGGCGACCAGACGACAGGCGGUUAUCGCCGCGCAGAAAUGACGAGCGGUGGCCGUCGCCGAAGAGAGCGGAGGAGAAACGAACGUCGCCGCGAAGGAGCCAAGAGACGAGAUACUCCCCGACGAGGCUUCCUCCCAGAUACUCCCCGACGAGGCUUCCUCCCAGAUACUCCCCGACGAGGCUUCCUCCCAGAUACUCCCCCUCCUCUCAGAUACUCGCCUCCUCUCAGAUAUUCGCCGCCGAGGCACUCGCCCCCUCGAGGCCAGCGCUCUCUGUCCCGGGGCAGUCGAGAAACCAGGUCCUCGUCCGAUAAAAGCUCCGCCAACAGAAGCGGCGCCCAGAAGAAGAAGCCGAGCGAGCUGGAGCAGGCCACGAAGAAGAUGCUGGAGAAGUCGUCAGUGCUGAAGUCUCUCUCUGGUCCCGCCGACAUGGACUCUUUGGUGGAGACGAUGAUGCCGCUGUUAAUGUCGCGUUUGGCCAAAGAAAUGGGCACCUCGUCCUCGGCGGCGCCCUCUACAGCCGCCAAGAAGAAGGCGGUGAAGAAGACGGUCUCCACGCCCGUGAGGAGGACGGUCUCUGCGGCGUCCAAACCCAGAGUGAGCCAACUUUCUGCUUUAAGGAAAUGGUGAAACUGAAACUACAGCCCAUGUUUUAGUCUUUAUUUGUUUUUGUGUUGUGUUUCCAGGCGGUGAAACCUUCCACGAUGGUGAGACUGGGCUCCAUCAUCCCGCCUCUGUCUCACGACGACGUGGUGGCGUUCGCAGAGAAAUUCGGGAAAACCAAAUCGGUUUUGCUGUUUCGCCAAAAACACCAGGCUGUGGUGUGUUUUGAAAAAGAAGAAGACGCCAAAAAACUGAGAACUGCGAAAGACCUGAAAAUCAAAGAUCAUCUGGUCACGAUCGUCAAGUAUAAGGAGGCAGUUUCUACAACUCAAAGAAAAUCUCCCGUAUCUGCGGCGAGACGACCCUUGAAGUCGGCCGUUAAAACGACCGGAACUACGAGAAAAGCCAGUGCAUCCAAAACUGCUCCAGUGAAGGCCACUACGUUGAAAGCAACAACCGUCAAAACACCGGCCACCAGAACCACGCAAUCAAAAACUACUUCAGUCAAAUCUGGCGUUACCAGGAAGGUCCCUACUGCCUCUACUUUAACAGCAGCUGCUGCUACUUCAUCUACUACUGCUGCUGCUAUUUCUACCAUUGCUACGAUUAUCACUCCUGCGACGGCUGGAGUGGACGUAACUAGAGCGAGGUAUGCCACGGCAGGUCAGAUCCGAUCCGUCCAAUACUCGAGCCUGAAGGAAGUCGUGAUCCAAGACAAUCCGAUACCAAGUUUGUCGAAGGAAGUCACGAAUGCACCCAAAGAAGCCGACAAGGAAGCGAUCAAAAUCAUAGACGUCGACAUGGAACCGAUAGAAAUCAGCAGCGGGACGGACUGCGAAGAUGAGGGUGAGCAGAGGGUGUUGAAAAAUUCGGCUGCGGAAGUGCCAAGCAACAAGAUGGAUGCCGAUAAAGUAGUCACUGAAGACAAAACUCCAGAAGAAGUGGUUGGAAGUACGAACAAUACGGCAGGAAAAGAUAAUAUGAAAAAAUCUGAAGAAGUUGGAGAGAAGAUUUCAAGCCAAGAAACGGUUGAAAGCACCAAAAACGUUGAACGAAAUUUGCAAGAAGAUGAUUCGAACGUGACGAAAGAAAAGCUUCCAGACGAUCCGCAAGAAAUGCCCACUGAGAAAGACAAGAUUUCACCAACAAAAAACGAUGCACAGGCUGAACAAACACAGCAGAAAACGGAACAAGUUGUGGAACAUAAAAGUGAAAAUUUACCACAAAAAGAACAAACCGAUUCAGGAGAAAAGACAGUCGUUGAAGGGUCUGAGAAAUUGGAGGUGGAGUUGAGCACGCAGCAGCCGAAUGAAGAGUGCGCAGUUGCUAAAAAAGAAGAGAAUUCAACAGAGAAACUAGCAGAGUUGGCCGAAGUGACGUCCACAGCGACACAAGGAGAGACGGUUGUAGAGGAGCGGGAGGAAAAGAUGGAAGUUUCAACCACGGAAGCUGAAAGAGUCCAAGAAACGUCAAAGGCAGAAGUAACCACAAAGCCAACCGAAACGAAGCCCGAAGCGACGAAGCAAGAAGCGACGAAGCCCGAAGCGACGAAGCCCGAAGGGACGAAGCCCGAAGGGAGUAAGCCAGAAGCGAGUAAGCCAGAAGCGACGAAGCCCGAAGCGAGUAAGCCAGAAGCUACGAAGCCCGAAGCGACGAAGCCCGAAGCGAGUAAGCCAGAAGCUACGAAGCCCGAAGCGAGUAAGCAAGAAGCUACGAAGCCCGAAGGGAGUAAGCCAGAAGCGAGUAAGCCAGAAGCUACGAAGCCUGAAGCGACGAAGCCCGAAGCGAGUAAGCCAGAAGCUACGAAGCGAAGCGACGAAGCCCGAAGCGAGUAAGCCAGAAGCUACGAAGCCCGAAGCGACGAAGCCCGAAGCGAGUAAGCCAGAAGCUACGAAGCCCGAAGCGACGAAGCAAGAAGCGACGAAGCCCGAAGCGACGAAGCCCGAAGCGAGUAAGCCAGAAGCUACGAAGCCCGAAGCGAGUAAGCCAGAAGCUACGAAGCCCGAAGCGAGUAAGCAGAAGCUACGAAGCCCGAAGCGAGUAAGCAAGAAGCUACGAAGCCCGAAGCGAGUAAGCAAGAAGCUACGAAGCCCGAAGCGAGUAAGCCAGAAGCUACGAAGCCCGAAGCGAGUAAGCCAGAAGCUACGAAGCCCGAAGCGAGUAAGCAGAAGCUACGAAGCCCGAAGCGAGUAAGCCAGAAGCUACGAAGCCCGAAGCGAGUAAGCCAGAAGCUACGAAGCCCGAAGCGAGUAAGCCAGAAGCUACGAAGCCCGAAGCGAGUAAGCCAGAAGCUACGAAGCCCGAAGCGAGUAAGCAAGAAGCUACGAAGCCCGAAGCGACGAAGCCAGAAGCGACGAAGCCUGAACCAACGAAGCCAGAAGCGAGUAUGCAAGAAGCGACGAAGCCCGAAGCGACAAAGCCUGAAGCGAGUAAACAAGAAGCGACGAAGCCCGAAGCGACGAAGCCUGAAGCGAGUAAGCCAGAAGCUACGAAGCCUGAAGCGAUGAAGCCUGAAGCGAGUAAACAAGAAGCGACGAAGCCAGAACCGACGAAGCCAGAACCGACGAAGCCAGAACCGACGAAGCCAGAACCAACGAAGCCAGAAGCUACGAAGCCUGAAGCGAUGAAGCAAGAAGCGAUGAAGCAAGAAGCGAGUAAGCCAAAAGCGAGUAAGCCAGAAGCUACGAAGCCCGAAGCGACGAAGCAAGAAGCGAUGAAGCAAGAAGCGAGUAAGCCAAAAGCGAGUAAGCCAGAAGCUACGAAGCCCGAAGCGAUGAAGCCUGAAGCGACGAAGCAAGAAGCAAGUAAGCCAAAAGCGAGUAAGCAAGAAGCGACGAAGCCUGAAGCGACGAAGCAAGAAGCGAUGAAGCAAGAAGCGAGUAAGCCAGAAGCGAGUAAGCCAGAAGCGAGUAAGCCAGAAGCGAGUAAGCAGAAGCGAGAAGCCAGAAGCGACGAAGCCCGAAGCGACGAAGCCCGAAGCGACGAAGCCCGAAGCGACGAAGCCCGAAGCGACGAAGCAAGAAGCGAUGAAGCCAAAAGCGAGUAAGCCCGAAGCGAUGAAGGCCAAAGCGACGCUAAACACAACCCAGAAAAUCCCUGUCCCGCAGAGUCCAAGUGCAGAAGCAGCGGGGCCGUCUCUGGCCGCGGGCGAGACUCUUCUGGAAAGACUACUCA